CGCUUACUGUAGAAGCUCGGAUGGAGAUCGGUUGCCGUGGAAGCCCGGAUGGAGAUCGCUUAUUGUAGAAGCUCGAAUGGAGACUGGUUGCCGUGAAAGCUCGGAUGGAGAUCGCUUAUUAUAGAAGCUCAGCUGAAGUCCACUUGCAAUAGAAGUUCGGAUGGAAUUUGCUUAUUGUAGAAGCUCGGAUGAAAUUUGGAAGGCGGUUGACCACUGUAGAAACUUAGAUGAAGUCUGGUUACUGUAGAAGUCCUAUUGCUGGAGAAGCCCGGACAUUGACGAAGUCCGGAAGAAGCUCGGAGUAAAGUCGAUCGUGAUGGG
This 321-nucleotide long non-coding RNA is filed under the name Elaeis guineensis (African oil palm). RNAcentral's name for it is "long non-coding RNA (EGUI_LNC069183)". Lineage: Eukaryota; Viridiplantae; Streptophyta; Magnoliopsida; Arecales; Arecaceae. The record is from RNAcentral.